This 74-nucleotide transfer RNA is filed under the name Candidatus Haliotispira prima. RNAcentral's name for it is "Spirochaetaceae bacterium SP-2023 tRNA-Ala". It matches the Rfam family "tRNA". From Rfam's summary of the family: Transfer RNA (tRNA) molecules are approximately 80 nucleotides in length. Lineage: Bacteria; Pseudomonadati; Spirochaetota; Spirochaetia; Spirochaetales; Spirochaetaceae. The record is from RNAcentral.
GGGGGCAUAGCUCAGCUGGUCAGAGCAUCGGCUUUGCAAGCCGAGGGUCAAGGGUUCGAAUCCCUUUGCCUCCA